RNAcentral lists this ribosomal RNA (435 nucleotides) under uncultured bacterium. RNAcentral describes it as "bacterial SSU rRNA". It matches the Rfam family "Bacterial small subunit ribosomal RNA", at positions 958 to 1392 of the family's 1533-position model. The record is from RNAcentral.
AACGCGAAGAACCUUACCUGGUCUUGACAUCCCUCUGACGGGCUCGUAAUGGAGUCGUUCCUUCGGGACAGAGGAGACAGGUGGUGCAUGGUUGUCGUCAGCUCGUGUCGUGAGAUGUUGGGUUAAGUCCCGCAACGAGCGCAACCCUUAUCUUUAGUAGCCAGCAGGUAAAGCUGGGCACUCUAGAGAGACUGCCAGGGAUAACCUGGAGGAAGGUGGGGAUGACGUCAAAUCAUCAUGCCCCUUAUGACCAGGGCUACACACGUGCUACAAUGGCGUAAACAAAGGGAAGCGACCCUGUGAAGGUGAGCAAAUCUCAAAAAUAACGUCUCAGUUCGGAUUGUAGUCUGCAACUCGACUACAUGAAGCUGGAAUCGCUAGUAAUCGCGAAUCAGAAUGUCGCGGUGAAUACGUUCCCGGGUCUUGUACACACCG